This 72-nucleotide transfer RNA is filed under the name Bacteroides caccae. RNAcentral's name for it is "tRNA-OTHER". It matches the Rfam family "tRNA". Rfam says of the family: Transfer RNA (tRNA) molecules are approximately 80 nucleotides in length. Their secondary structure includes four short double-helical elements and three loops (D, anti-codon, and T loops). RNAcentral also lists the same sequence under 1 other name. Lineage: Bacteria; Pseudomonadati; Bacteroidota; Bacteroidia; Bacteroidales; Bacteroidaceae. The record is from RNAcentral.
UCCUGUAUAGCUAAGUCGGUUAAAGCACUACAUUGUUAGUAGAGACCGGUGGUUCGAAUCCACCUACAGGAA